RNAcentral lists this signal recognition particle RNA (291 nucleotides) under Sphenodon punctatus (tuatara). RNAcentral's name for it is "Metazoan signal recognition particle RNA (ENSSPUG00000007018.1)". It matches the Rfam family "Metazoan signal recognition particle RNA". Rfam says of the family: The signal recognition particle (SRP) is a universally conserved ribonucleoprotein. It is involved in the co-translational targeting of proteins to membranes. Lineage: Eukaryota; Metazoa; Chordata; Lepidosauria; Sphenodontia; Sphenodontidae. The record is from RNAcentral.
GCGGGGCGUGGUGGCUCACGCCUGUAAUCCUGGCGAAGCUGAGGCUGGCGGAUCGCUUGAGUUCAGGAGUUCUGGGCUGCGGAGCGCUAGGCCGAGCAGGGUCCGCACUAAGUUCAGCAUCAAUAUGGUGCUCCCUGGGGAGCCGGGGGAUACCAGGUUGGCUAACGAGGGGUGAAUCGGCCCAGGCCGGAAACUGAGCAGGUUAAAGCUCCCGCGCUGAUCAGUAGUGGGAUCGCCCCUGUGAAUAGUCCCUGCAGCGCAGCCUGGGCAACACAGCGAGACAUGGUCUCU